RNAcentral lists this long non-coding RNA (1006 nucleotides) under Apteryx haastii (Great spotted kiwi). RNAcentral describes it as "lncRNA (ENSAHAG00000018571.1)". The record is from RNAcentral. Lineage: Eukaryota; Metazoa; Chordata; Aves; Apterygiformes; Apterygidae.
AUUUCAAAUGACGUUAUACAGAAUGAAGUGUACUAAAAGGCUCACAGCAUUUGGUUCCCGCUGUUAAAAAGGAGUAAGUAUGUAUGAUGUGCUGCUCCAUAGGGUGUAGCAAGUAGAAAAGCAGAAAAGAAUUGUCAAAUGCUUUGCUUUCGUGCACAGUACGUACCAUGGAAUGCACGAGCUCGUGAGGUUUUUGGCCACAGUCCUACUUGACAUAUAUGUUCUGCUCCCUUCUUUACAGAAUGAUACUAUGGUGCUGCUGCAGAGCAAAAAUACAGAGGUAUGAUACUGUUGAGCCUUGCACAUACCAGCCUCAUCACACUACAAAAUGAGAGGAGAUCUCARUGACAGGAUGGUAUGAAGUCUUCCCAAGAACAUAGACUGCAGGACAGCUGGGUGGACCAGUCACUUGACAUAACCAACAKAGGGGUACCGUGGCUAAGAUCUUUUAAUUGAGCGCAGGUUGCAGCUCAGGUCUGGUUGAGCAGAGAACAUCCUGCCACAAUCUUGUGUGUGCUGGCUAGUGCUGGGGGUUCUCACAAGCCCUGCUGUGAAAACYGAGCUAAAAAGACCUUUGCCCCAAACAGCUUCCCAAGAAAUUGCCACAUGUAGCUUGUUGAUAUGCUUGUUCAACAGGCUGAAUCAGUUGUGCUCAGCACAAGAUAUUGCUUGCUCUGCAGUUUUUUUUUUUGUUUUUUUUUUUGUUUUUUUAAUCUUCCCCUAUUAAUCCAGAGUUGUCCAUUGACUCAGCCCCAGUUUGAAUGAGCAUAAGUCCUAUGACAUGCUCGUGGAGAGCUUUCUGCAACCCUUCCUCAGCAAACUUUUAGUCCCCAAUUUAUACCCUCACCUUCCUCUUAACUUUUUUUUUUCCCCCCUCUCUCUUCUUGCUCCAUUUGUAGGGUGACAGGCAAUUUUGGAGGCUCAGAUGGUUUAAAUGCUAGGUUGGAGGGAGUGCCUGUCGUUGUGGUGGGUUUUUUUAUUUUAUUUAUUUUUUCCUCUCUUUAAA